CGGCAUGCCUUACGCAUGCAAGUCGAACGACGCCAGGGGGCAACUCCUGGCGAGUGGCGAACGGGUGAGCAAUACAUCGGAACGUGUCCUCUUGUGGGGGAUAACCAGUCGAAAGACUGGCUAAUACCGCAUGAGAUCGCGAGAUGAAAGCGGGGGAUUCGCAAGGACCUCGCGCGAGAGGAGCGGCCGAUGUCCGAUUAGCUAGUUGGUGAGGUAACGGCUCACCAAGGCGACGAUCGGUAGCUGGUCUGAGAGGACGACCAGCCACACUGGGACUGAGACACGGCCCAGACUCCUACGGGAGGCAGCAGUGGGGAGUUUUGGACAAUGGGCGCAAGCCUGAUCCAGCCAUGCCGCGUGUGUGAAGAAGGCCUUCGGGUUGUAAAGCACUUUCGGACGGAACGAAAUCGCGCGGGCGAACAGUCCGCGUGGAUGACGGUACCGUAAGAAGAAGCACCGGCUAACUACGUGCCAGCAGCCGCGGUAAUACGUAGGGUGCGAGCGUUAAUCGGAAUUACUGGGCGUAAAGCGUGCGCAGGCGGUAUCGCAAGUCAGGCGUGAAAUCCCCGAGCUCAACUUGGGAAUGGCGCUUGAAACUAUGAUGCUGGAGUGUGGCAGAGGGAGGUGGAAUUCCACGUGUAGCGGUGAAAUGCGUAGAGAUGUGGAGGAACACCGAUGGCGAAGGCAGCCUCCUGGGCCAACACUGACGCUCAUGCACGAAAGCGUGGGGAGCAAACAGGAUUAGAUACCCUGGUAGUCCACGCCCUAAACGAUGAGGACUGGAUGUCGGAAGGGUCUGCCUUUCGGUGUCGUAGCUAACGCGUUAAGUCCUCCGCCUGGGGAGUACGGCCGCAAGGUUGAAACUCAAAUGAAUUGACGG
Molecule: ribosomal RNA, 880 nt
Filed under: uncultured bacterium
Lineage: Bacteria
Description: bacterial SSU rRNA
Rfam family: Bacterial small subunit ribosomal RNA
Source: RNAcentral